This 1249-nucleotide long non-coding RNA is filed under the name Equus caballus (horse). Its description in RNAcentral is "lncRNA (ENSECAG00000059967.1)". The record is from RNAcentral. Lineage: Eukaryota; Metazoa; Chordata; Mammalia; Perissodactyla; Equidae.
GAGACUGGAAGGCAGACUUGGCAGUGCGCUUUCCUUCUUCCCCAGUGUAUGAUACUCCUUUGUCCCUGAGGAACUGGAUGCAUUAGAAAGAACACUGAGCUAGGGGACUGGAAGUCUAGGUUCUAGCACAACACCUAUGAAAAACUAGCAGUGUGACCUUGGACCACUCACUCCACAUUUCUGGAUCUUCAUGUCCUCACCUAUUAAAUGUGGUUUUGGAAAGGAUUAUUUUCAAGUUACAUUCCAGCUUUCAGUUUCUAUGAAGUUCCGUAUUCUGUGAGUUGUUUGUUUCCAAUUUAAGAAGAUCAUUCUUAAUUCUGAUCGUUAUCUUCUAAGAUGCGAGUUCCACUUACUUAACCUCCCCCUCCAACCAGCCCUCAGUACCACCACUAGUUUCAAUCUAUGGCCCUAUGUUGAUCCGGAUAUUUCACUUCCCAAAGUUGCUGAGUGUUUUGUUUGUCUGAAUUGAAAAAAAAAAAGGAGAGAAUAUGGAAAGAAUCUUGACUCCCCUCUAUACCACUGAGAUCUGAACGACUUUACCUCACGGUAUGGGCAAGUCUAACCUCCUGAGAAGCCACUAGGAGGACAAUGCUGGUACCGCCACUUGAAGCACAAGGGCUGUGGAAAGACCAAGAGCUGCCGUCUCAAUUCAGGAGGAAUUAAGACAAAAGGAAAGAAGCCUAGAGACACUCUUCUCUACUUAGUAAUUCCUCUGGCUCCAGUAACACACAGGCGUCCAAUCUAGAAGCUCACAUGGUCCGCGCGGCAUUUCAGACUCACUCUUUAGAAGACGCCCUGCUAAUGCACACAGUGUGGAGGUGAGCCUGCAGCAUUAUAGUUGGUACUCGGCCUUGCUCUUGCUUUCCGGUUUACCUAAUGUCAAACUCAUCUUUUCAAGUUUUACUGUGACCAGACUUUGUUUAUGUUUGUUUUAUUUACUUUUUAAUUAUUAAUUUUGAAUUUUAUUUUGUGUGAGACCAAAAGGAAAGCCUUUCAUAACUGCCCCUUCCUUUAGGACUGGAGGAGCUAACAGGGUUGUGUUGCAACCAUGCUCAGUUGCUCUGAGGAGGGAGCUGGGGCAGAGAUAGCGCUUCAUACAUCUGGCAUUCUCACUUGCAUGGGCCAUUUGCAAAGUCUUGAGAGUGACCUUCGACCUUCGACCUUCCUAACGCAAGGAACUAAAGUAUUUGUCAGCUUUUAAAAAUCAUUGUAAUCUAUUGUCAUUUCUUUUUAUUUUAAAUAAACACUG